CAUCUGAGGAGGAACAAACACACUUGGAAUAUGCUUCUAUUCCUAAGAAGUUGGCUGCAUAGGAGCACAACAUCACCAGCUUACCACGUAUUGGUCAUUCUCUUUGAGGAGCAGGGCCAUACUGACGGCUUACAUGUGCGCUCUGGUGGAAGUAGGAUGUUUGGUGGCAGCAGGAGCAAAAUCAACUCUGUGACAGCAAAGCUGGAGAGAGAGAGGAGCAUUGAGGUUUUGAGACAUGUAUAACCAGUGAAACCAUCAUUACAAUCCAGAUUGAGAAAUUUGCC
This 284-nucleotide long non-coding RNA is filed under the name Homo sapiens (human). Its description in RNAcentral is "long non-coding RNA NONHSAT107033.2". Lineage: Eukaryota; Metazoa; Chordata; Mammalia; Primates; Hominidae. The record is from RNAcentral.